Molecule: ribosomal RNA, 700 nt
Filed under: uncultured Alphaproteobacteria bacterium
Lineage: Bacteria; Pseudomonadati; Pseudomonadota; Alphaproteobacteria
Description: bacterial SSU rRNA
Rfam family: Bacterial small subunit ribosomal RNA
Source: RNAcentral
UCAGGCCUAACACAUGCAAGUCGAGCGCACCUUCGGGUGAGCGGCGGACGGGUUAAUAACGCGUGGGAAUAUGCCCAAAGGUACGGAAUAGCCUCUGGAAACGGAGAGUAAUACCGUAUGUGCCCUUCGGGGGAAAGAUUUAUCGCCUUUGGAUUAGCCCGCGUCUGAUUAGAUAGUUGGUGGGGUAACGGCCUACCAAGUCGACGAUCAGUAGCUGGUUUGAGAGGAUGAUCAGCAACACUGGGACUGAGACACGGCCCAGACUCCUACGGGAGGCAGCAGUGGGGAAUCUUAGACAAUGGGCGCAAGCCUGAUCUAGCCAUGCCGCGUGAGUGACGAAGGUCUUAGGAUCGUAAAGCUCUUUCGCCAGGGAUGAUAAUGACAGUACCUGGUAAAGAAACCCCGGCUAACUCCGUGCCAGCAGCCGCGGUAAUACGGAGGGGGUUAGCGUUGUUCGGAAUUACUGGGCGUAAAGCGCACGUAGGCGGAUUAUUAAGUCAGAGGUGAAAUCCCGGGGCUCAACCCCGGAACUGCCUUUGAUACUGGUAAUCUUGAGUUCGAGAGAGGUGAGUGGAAUUCCGAGUGUAGAGGUGAAAUUCGUAGAUAUUCGGAGGAACACCAGUGGCGAAGGCGGCUCACUGGCUCGAUACUGACGCUGAGGUGCGAAAGUGUGGGGAGCAAAACAGGAUUAGAUACCCUG